RNAcentral lists this transfer RNA (73 nucleotides) under Sus scrofa (pig). It matches the Rfam family "tRNA". From Rfam's summary of the family: Transfer RNA (tRNA) molecules are approximately 80 nucleotides in length. Their secondary structure includes four short double-helical elements and three loops (D, anti-codon, and T loops). Lineage: Eukaryota; Metazoa; Chordata; Mammalia; Artiodactyla; Suidae. The record is from Rfam by way of RNAcentral.
UCCCUGGUGGCCUGACAGUUAAGGACUCAGCACUGUCACUGCUGUGGCACUGGUUCAAUCCCUGGCCUGGGAA